This 106-nucleotide small RNA is filed under the name Heterosigma akashiwo. RNAcentral describes it as "partial transfer-messenger RNA". Lineage: Eukaryota; Raphidophyceae; Chattonellales; Chattonellaceae. The record is from RNAcentral.
ACAACAAUAAAAAAUGCAAAAAAUGAUAAUUAUUUCUUUUCCUCCUUCCGAGCAGAUGCCUCAAACUUAAAUGUAUUUUAAAUUGCGCUUCUUACCAGGAAGGGUU